Molecule: long non-coding RNA, 256 nt
Filed under: Elaeis guineensis (African oil palm)
Lineage: Eukaryota; Viridiplantae; Streptophyta; Magnoliopsida; Arecales; Arecaceae
Description: long non-coding RNA (EGUI_LNC026415)
Source: RNAcentral
GCUGGUAUUUUUCUUAGUAGUCCUUCUUGCUCCUCUCUUUCUAUUGGUAGGAUUCAUCGAGACUUCAUUCUCUCUGUUGCUCAUUAUCACUUAGAUAAAAAAAAUACUAACAUUAAUUAACUUUCUUAAAUGAGUAACAGAAACUCUAAGAAAACUUGUUUAUUCUUAUUUAGUUAAAUAUGAUCUAGCUAAAUGAGACCUAUCUACCUAUUGUUAGACUUUAAGUUUACCCAUGAUCAAACCUAUUACUCUGAUA